Molecule: transfer RNA, 93 nt
Filed under: Rhodospirillales bacterium
Lineage: Bacteria; Pseudomonadati; Pseudomonadota; Alphaproteobacteria; Rhodospirillales
Description: tRNA-Sec
Rfam family: Selenocysteine transfer RNA
Source: RNAcentral
GGAGGCGAUAGGGGUCUGGUGGCCCUCCUGGUCUUCAAAACCAGCGGUCCGUUCGCAGCGGAUGGUGGGUUCGAUUCCCAUCCGCCUCCGCCA